RNAcentral lists this ribosomal RNA (230 nucleotides) under uncultured bacterium. RNAcentral's name for it is "partial 16S ribosomal RNA". It matches the Rfam family "Bacterial small subunit ribosomal RNA", at positions 103 to 334 of the family's 1533-position model. The record is from RNAcentral.
CGGGUGAGUAACACGUAUCCAACCUGCCGUCUACUCUUGACAGCCUUCUGAAAGGAAGAUUAAUACAAGAUGGCAUCAUGAGUCCGCAUGUUCACAUGAUUAAAGGUAUUCCGGUAGACGAUGGGGAUGCGUUCCAUUAGAUAGUAGGCGGGGUAACGGCCCACCUAGUCUUCGAUGGAUAGGGGUUCUGAGAGGAAGGUCCCCCACAUUGGAACUGAGACACGGCCCAG